CCCUUCUCAGGAUCGCCCCUGGAGAGUUUCCACUACUCUACCAGUCUCGGCUACAGGAAGAAGAGUCAAGCAGAGGCAUACCCAUUCCAUUCCUAGUUUGGGCAGUGGCUAGCGAGUGGAAGGCCAUCUGCUACAAGU
RNAcentral lists this small nucleolar RNA (138 nucleotides) under Ornithorhynchus anatinus (platypus). Lineage: Eukaryota; Metazoa; Chordata; Mammalia; Monotremata; Ornithorhynchidae. The record is from RNAcentral.